AUUCUUCGUUUUUUUAACUGAGAAAACACAAGGAAAAUCUAUUGACGCAAGAAAACCACACUUCACUUGAGGAUUUAAGAAAAAGCUUCUUGAAGUCUUAUUUUCUCUCAUUUUCCACUAUUUCCUUAGGACUAAACGAGAAGCAAUUAUAAAGAAUGUAGAAAAGAAAAAUCAAUUAAGUCAUAUCCUGAGCCACAUUGAGCUUCGAAUUCACCUCCAG
This 220-nucleotide unclassified non-coding RNA is filed under the name Hevea brasiliensis (rubber tree). The record is from RNAcentral. Lineage: Eukaryota; Viridiplantae; Streptophyta; Magnoliopsida; Malpighiales; Euphorbiaceae.